This 69-nucleotide transfer RNA is filed under the name Rattus norvegicus (Norway rat). It matches the Rfam family "tRNA". From Rfam's summary of the family: Transfer RNA (tRNA) molecules are approximately 80 nucleotides in length. The record is from Rfam by way of RNAcentral. Lineage: Eukaryota; Metazoa; Chordata; Mammalia; Rodentia; Muridae.
GGGGAUUUGGCUCAAUGGUAGAGUGCUUGCCUAGGAAGCGCAAGGUCCUGGGUUCGAUCCCCAGCCCCG